UUUCAAAAAUUAUAUAUAUGUGUGUGUGUGUGUGUGUAUGUGUGUAUAUAUAUAUAUAUAUAUAUAUAUAUAUAUAUAUUC
This 81-nucleotide microRNA precursor is filed under the name Dasypus novemcinctus (nine-banded armadillo). RNAcentral's name for it is "miRNA (ENSDNOG00000031292.1)". The record is from RNAcentral. Lineage: Eukaryota; Metazoa; Chordata; Mammalia; Cingulata; Dasypodidae.